RNAcentral lists this ribosomal RNA (259 nucleotides) under uncultured bacterium. Its description in RNAcentral is "partial 16S ribosomal RNA". It matches the Rfam family "Bacterial small subunit ribosomal RNA", at positions 96 to 354 of the family's 1533-position model. The record is from RNAcentral.
UGGCGGACGGGUGAGUAACGCGUGGGUAACCUGCCCUGUACAGGGGACGAACAGUUAGAAAUGACUGCUAAUACCGCAUAAGCGCACAGGACCGCAUGGUCCGGUGUGAAAAACUCCGGUGGUACAGGAUGGACCCGCGUCUGAUUAGGUAGUUGGCGGGGUAACGGCCCACCAAGCCGACGAUCAGUAGCCGACCUGAGAGGGUGACCGGCCACCAUUGGGACUGAGACACGGCCCAAACUCCUACGGAAGGCAGCAG